Long non-coding RNA from Mercenaria mercenaria, 6287 nucleotides. RefSeq lists it as uncharacterized. The record is from RefSeq and is a predicted model, not a curated record. The transcript has 3 exons. Lineage: Eukaryota; Metazoa; Mollusca; Bivalvia; Venerida; Veneridae.
UUGGUUCCGUGCUAAAUUUCAAUAUAUUUUGGUAAAAAUAGCAACGAUGCAUAACAAAUAUUUUUGAAAUAUGUUUUUCUUAAUUGUUGGCAACUUAUAUAUAUAUUGUAUAAAGGGAAUGAAGUAUCAAAGCUAACCUAGCUAUUAGAAAAUAUUUCACAUGGAUGAGAUAAUACCAUAAAAUUACUUGUUCGUGAUAACAUCCGAAGCUUAGGUAGUGAUAUUAUUUAUCAAGAAAGAGAAUCUAUACAUUUUAGCGGACACGCAGAGCAAAGUUAGCGUAAACGUCGGACAACUGAAUGAAGGGACAAUGCUUACAAGAAGAAAGUAUAGAAUAACAUUAGUACUUAUAACUUUCGCUAUUGUUACUGGUAUAAUGAAAGUAUCCGGUCAGCUGUGUCACAAAGGAGUAACUUCUGAAGGAUAUGUUUGUAAAGACACAGGACCUUUCCUAAAUGGACAUGGUCGGUGUUCUAGAAGUUCUCAUACAGUAAAAAGGUGUGGGUUUGUCGGUUCAAGCUGUAGGUGCAGAUCGAGUCUAAUCCUAAAUAUGGUCGUAAAAUCAUCUGGAACAUCGAAUGGUUUGGUUGGACAUCAAGCAUACGCAACACUGCUGUCAUCAAAUAUCAGAGUGAAUAAAAUACUUGAGGAAACAUUCACUGGAAAUUAUUGCAGAUAAAAGGCAAAUAAAUGAUAUUAGAAACAGCGAUUUUAUGUUAUGAUUGAAGGGAUAGGAAUCCAACAAGAUCGAACUAAGUAAGAUACAAAGGAGUGACUUUAAUGUAUGUCUGGUGUGUCUUUCAAAGCCAACCAAAAUUGAAUCUUUUCUUUAAUCAUCUAGUCUUUUUUAUAACCAUUUUUGCUACUACUUCCUUUUUUCAUUUGAUUAAAUUAGUGGCGAUGAGUAUUCGUUAUGAAACUAAAAACACGUCUACUACAGAAAAGAAUGCCUUUUUUCCGUACUGGUUAUAUAUAUUUCCAUUGGACCCUUUUACAAGACAGGUAUCACAAUGACUAAAGACCUAGUUCAAGUCUCAAGAAUAUAUUGAAUUUUGUAUUCAAGAAUAUAUAGAAUUUCGUAUUGCCAUGCAAUACCUGGAAAUCCAACGCACUCUACUAAAAGAUGCAAAGACGUUCUAUGAUAGAUCGUUUCAGUCUUGCACACCGGACUGGCGUUUCGGGUGAUAUUACCCAUGUCGACACAACCCAUCUAGCACCCCCAUUCAUUCAUUCAUUCAUGAUAAUAUUGGAAUUUAUGUAGACAUCGAUAGAAAUCAACUAUCUUGAUAGUAAUGUUGCUCUUUUUCCUUUAAGUAUAUUUCUCGCUUAAAAAUAUUUUACGGAAAAAGAUAACGUUACGCUACAAAUGAUAGAACUUAUUACCGGAACUCUGUUGUUUUGCGUCUUUGAAACAUCCAGACGUGCAUUUCCCGCACUUUGUUUAAAACUCCUGCUGUAAGAACUCCUGCUAUAAAGAAAUAAUUUCAUUUUCCUUUGCUCAUUACAUGAUUUGUCUAAUAUGGUAUACAAGAAAGAUAAUCUACCACAGGCUGAACAUGCGAAUAUGAAUAUCCGGGUCUCGGGAGACUGUUUCUACCGAAACUCGGCAGAGCACCAUUGCCGCCAAGACCAGUUACCCUCGAACCGGUGACAGAUUAUUAUAGUCUUAGUCUAUUUACUAACGUAAAACUAUUUUGAAAAUGCUAUAUUUGUUUUCUGUUUCUCUUGUGUUUCACAUGAAGGAUUUCUCUCUAUCUGUUCUGGGGGCUUUAUCUCACUCUGUCCCUCUGGUCAGAUCGCUCUGUGUUUGUACUAGUAGAGGAUGAAUUGCGCGCUCUGUGUGGCUGCGUUUGCUAUAUGUAAAGCGCCUUUGAACGUGUGAAAGGGCGCUAUAUAAAUCUGGUAUAAUAAUGUUAAUGAUAAUAAUAAUAAUAAUAAUAAUAAUAAUAAUAAUACUAGUAAUAAUAAUGUGGUGCGCUCGGGAUAAAAUAAGAUGUCGUACGCGCGAGAUAAGAUGAUGAGCUCUUGAAAUAAGCUGUCAUGCGCACGAGAUAAUUUAAUCUUAAAAAAUGUAAUCUAUGUCCUUAACAUUCCACUGUGGAAUAUUCCAUAUUUAACGACUUUUUGUAAUAACACAUAUAACAAAAUUUACAUAUGAAAGUUAUUUAAAGAACGCCAUAUCUACGUAUUACUUGUUUGCGUACAUCACCGGGAAGCAAGGCAGGUGUCUCAAGACGAGAGCAGCUGUACAUUUUCUGAGGAAAAAAAACAACAAACAAAACAGUAUUUCGUGUAAAUACUUGACAUUCUUUUAUUUUGUCGCUUGAAAAAUUGGUAAAUGAUAUAACAUACGGUCGUUUAAUGGGCAUAGAUACUUAAAGUUUACAAAAAUAACCUUUUUUUAAAAAAAACCUUUUGAUGGAAUAUCUGUUGUCAUUACAAUUUUAAGAAAACGUUUAUAGUGACCCGCAUUUAAAACUGAUUCGGAAUACCCAAGUAGACCGUAUUUGAAUAACUUAAGGUUUACAAUUUCCUUUUUAUAAAGUGUAUUUGCCUUAUUUCACGCAUUUUGCACAUGGGAUUUGAUAAAUAACACCCGACAAGUUAAAUGUGAAAAAGGUACAUAUAAUUGUUUGAGACACGGAAUCUGUUGGAUCUACUUUCUAUUGUUACAGCUGUGACCGAGAAGACGUUGAAGGAAAAUGCCUGCGAAACUUUAUACCUUUGCGAUGUUUUUCAUCCUACUGGUAAUAAUAAAUAGCAUAACAGAAGUGUCUAGUCAGGCUUGUGUGAAACGCUUCAGGAACGGACAUUUCUACUGUAUGAAAAUAUCCACUAAAUGUCCGUCAUGUUGGUGGAUUGGCAGUACAUGCCGGUGUUCUAGCGGAUCGGCUGUCGCAAGAUUUAUCUCCCACGUAAAAGAGAACAAGCCAGACAGAAAAUCGCUUUUGAAUACUGGUGGUACGGAUGGAAAUGCGCAGCUGAAAAGUCUGAUUGCAAAAUAUAUUCAUAGCAAGUUGCAACACUAACUUUUAUAUUGAUUUACAGGAAACAACCAUAUUAUACGUUGUUACCAUAGAGUUUGUUAAAAUAUGUCAUGUCGGAAAUCUAAAGUGUACACCAUAGUUUAUGUACACAAACAGUCUCGUUUAUAUAAACGAAAGAGUCAGAAUGGAUUAAGUGCUAGGGGCACAAGGUGUGAUGCACAUUUCAUUACCUCUCUUGAAUCAAGUCUGCUGUAUAUAUGCUGCUUGGUUCGUUCUUUGCAUCCAAGGGAUCUUUUUACAGAUAAUAUCAUGAUGCGUGAUAACGUUGAACUACAAUUAGAACUACCAACUACCAAUAACAACUGACACACAAGGAUGUAACAUUUGUGUGGCAUUGGUAUAUGCAAGUACACGAUGUGAAUAAACUAACGAGUGUUCUUUGCCACUUCUAUUUUUUUUUGUAAAAGAGGAUUUCUGUUUCUUGCUACCCCAGUGGUAUAGGUGUACAAGAAAAUAAUGUUAUCUGUAUUUCUUAACAGUUUGGCUCAUUACUGUGUGCCAAGGAUGCUUUGGUUCAAUUUAAUAUAUCAUACUUUUUGCUAUAUUAAGAUAUUAUAUAUUUUUAGAGAGUAGAAAGGUUGAUCAAAGUAUCAUAGUAACCUAAAUGUAAAUAAAACGUUAUAUAUUCUUAAAACCAUAUGACUGGUCUUUUUGUAUGAUUCAUGGUCAAAAUUAGGGAAUCAUUGGCGAAGUGAUUUACCGAUCGAUGUUAAUAUCCCCACUUGUGUUCAUUGCUAGGUGAUUUACAUAAAUUGGCACUAUUUCAAGCAGUAUCACCUUAGAUUUCAUGCAGGAGAGGUAAAUAUGACACCUGCUUGGGGCUCGACAACAAACAAGCUGUUCCAUCCUUUACAGGAGGCGACAUCCUUCGACCUUCCCAUGCUACUUGUUCCAUCCUUUACAGGAGGCGACAUCCUUCGACCUUCCCAUACUACUUGAAACAGGAAAGUUUUACAUUUCGAAUAAACAUAUUUGUUUAAAAUGAACACAUUUAAAAUAUUUCCGCUUUUAACCUACAUCAAAAUAUCUAAUGAUGUAUGUAGUGAUAAAAACAUAUCUGUUACAUAUUAAACCUCAGAUUAACGAGGUUAGGUUAAAUAUGAAAGACCAAACUUCAUCCCAUGUGAUACACCGGUAUAGUGAUAAAACCAACUUUUUUCAAGGAUUGCUGAAUUUAUAUAUGACAUCUACUGAGACUAAUUACAAUUUUUCCGUUUAUGGAUUAGUUUAAUUACACAUUCUUGAAAGUCUCGUAUAAAAUCAUAGCAAGCCAUUGUAAAUCUGAAUGGAUUUGACUUCAAAGAUAUUCUCGAAGUAGUUUAAAUCUGAUAAUAUUUCUAUUAAUGAAGACGACGUACAUACUGCGCAACAACUUUGUCCAUAAAUGAAUGUCUUGAGCAUUUAGGCCAAGUCCAUAUUUUCUUUACCCCUAGCAGAAAUUCGACUCACUAAGACUACGGGAAGAACCUAUGCUCCAAUUGCGGCGGUUAAAUGUUUGGGACCUUGUUUUCGUAGGUGUAUCAAAUUUUCUCAACACAUUAAUUUUUCAAGGGGCUAAAACUAGUUUUGUUUCAUUUUUACCAGUUGCUUAUCGUAAAAUCAGCAUUUCGUUCAGAGUUACAAAGUCAAUCUUUUUCCAAAGCAAAACUACUUCACAUAAUAUUUUUUUUAGUAUUUUGUUUAAUAAUAUAAACUUUUCAAUCAAGCAGACAGAACACUUAUUCGAAAUUGGUGCGUUCAUCAAAACUACGUAUGAUUGUUUACCUUUAUCAAAAUAUCAUGUGACACUUGUAAACUAUGUUUUCAAAAUACCUGUCCCGCAUCUGUUACACAUUUUAAAAUCGUUUCGUUUGAAAAAGCACUUGUUAUAUUAAACCAUAAUGUAGUUUAAGUUUUCUCCACAUUCAAUAAGACGCUUAAAAGUAUUGUACGUAUCAUUUCUAUUUUCUCAUUUUACAAUUGAAACCCCCGGGUUAAAUGAGAGACAUUCUUUGCCAAAUCUAUACUAAAGACUUUUUUGGUGAAAAUUUUUCAGACAUAAACCCUGUCAUUUCAUCACUUUUCUACUUCACAUAAUUAUACGGUUGUUGAACUAUACCGCUCCAAAUUGCGUUCAUAUCACCUGCAAUAAUUACCUCGUAACUAUUGAGAUCUAUUUCUUGCAUAGAUAUUAUUUUACAGUGUUUACAAGUGGUUUAAUAACGAUGACUUCUGUCAUUUUUAUCAACUCCAGCAAUCUUUCAAAACAAGUAUAGAGGUAAAGAAGUUAUAAUUUAACCGUGCCUUGAGAAAACCAACAUAGUGGCUUUGCGACCAGCAUGGAUCCAGACCAGCCUGCGCAUCUGCGCAGUCUGGUCAGGAUCAGUGCUGUUCACGAACGGUUUCUCUAAUUGCAAAAGGCUUUGAAAGCGAACAGCAUGGAUCCUGACCAGACUGCGCGCAUCCGGACUGGUCGCAAAGCCACUAUGUUGGUUUUCUAAUCAUAUUAAUGUAUCGCACGAAGUAAAAGCUGACCAGGUCUAAAUAUAUCUAAUACAUAUAAAUAUUUAUGUAUAUAAGAUAAUCGUUAAUUAUAUGUUUUCCGUCUUAUUGAAAACCAAAUAUUGCAUUAAAAUGUAUUUUCUAAUCAUAAUCGGCAACCACCAAAAGUUGCCGAACUUGUAAUAUAACGGAAAGGUCUCGUAUAGUUCCGAUGUUAACAGGGUUUUACCGAUUGACGGUUAUGGACACGAAACCUUUAUGCAACUGAAUAAAGACUUGUUUCAUUUAAUGCUUUUGUACACAACAUAUGAACGCAUCUUUAUAAGCCAUCCGACUCGAUAUGAAUACAUAUAUAAGCUACUUUAAAACAUAAAACAUCUUUAAUUAACGUGAUCAUUAUAAGAAUCACAGAGGGGGUUUCAAUAAUUGUGUACAUAUGAAAAAGUUCCAAGUGUUUUGCUACCCUGUAUACGAAUCCUUACUUAAAUUACUUUCUAAUAUGACUUUCUCUGUUGAAACACGCCUACUUUCUAAUGUGCCUUUCUCAGUUGAAACACGCUUACCCUAGGAUGACGUCAGGUUAACGUGAGGUGACGGCAAAGUUUUUGUUGCAACCAAGAAAGAGCGCUUCUAUGUUUCAUCUACUGUACAUUUUUUAGAUUAAGGGCACAUUUGAAACGUGUUUGAUACUGAAUGUUAUGUUUUCACUGAUUUCUGAAAAAUGUUUGAUAAUAAAUAAAUAAAUGCUAUAAAGAAACA